This 543-nucleotide long non-coding RNA is filed under the name Cyanistes caeruleus (blue tit). RNAcentral describes it as "lncRNA (ENSCCEG00000007017.1)". The record is from RNAcentral. Lineage: Eukaryota; Metazoa; Chordata; Aves; Passeriformes; Paridae.
GACAGAGCCAAACACAAACAGGGAGACUUCUGCUUGUUUGUCCCUUACCAUUUCCUCCAGGGAGUUAAGAUUAGUCUUAAUUAAUAAGGUUAUGAUCUUAGCUUAAAAGGCCAUGAAGCUGUAGGACUAGGUAUUUCCACAUUCAGUGACCCAUGGAGGUCAUUACCCAACAAUUCUUGAAUGCCUUAAAACCUGUGAGCAACUCUGAGGAGACUAGAAAACUUUGUGCACAUGGAUAAGGCCCCAAACAACAUGAAAAAUGGCCACUUAUUUCCACAACAACACAUGUUGUAGUGAAUUGUCAUUUUUAAUGGCUAUUUAACAAACUAGGUGCUCAGCUGCCAACUUCAUUAUUCUUUAGGAGGCUACCAGCACUUCUUCCUUUCUCCCACAGGAGUUGUGGAGAUGUACAGCUCAAGCACCAAAGAGAUAAGAAGCCAAGGCAAGGACAGGAAAAGACAGAAAUCUUUAAACUGCUGUUAAGGCACAGCCUGGAUCCUUACCCUGUGUCAGCUUCCUUACCCUGAGGAAGCUUUUGAGGUG